UACAGAGGUCUCAAGCGUUGUUCGGAUUCAUUGGGCGUAAAGGGUGCGUAGGUGGCGCUGUAAGUCGGGUGUGAAAUUUCGAGGCUUAACCUCGAAACUGCAUUCGAUACUGCGGUGCUUGAGGACUGGAGAGGAGACUGGAAUUCCCGGUGUAGCGGUGAAAUGUGUAGAGAUCGGGAGGAACACCGGUGGCGAAGGCGGGUCUCUGGGCAAUUCCUGACGCUGAGGCGCGAAAGCGUGGGGAGCAAACGGG
RNAcentral lists this ribosomal RNA (253 nucleotides) under uncultured bacterium. RNAcentral's name for it is "partial 16S ribosomal RNA". It matches the Rfam family "Bacterial small subunit ribosomal RNA", at positions 524 to 776 of the family's 1533-position model. The record is from RNAcentral.